This 65-nucleotide ribosomal RNA is filed under the name Haemophilus influenzae. RNAcentral describes it as "partial 16S ribosomal RNA". It matches the Rfam family "Bacterial small subunit ribosomal RNA", at positions 1 to 63 of the family's 1533-position model. Lineage: Bacteria; Pseudomonadati; Pseudomonadota; Gammaproteobacteria; Pasteurellales; Pasteurellaceae. The record is from RNAcentral.
UUGAAUUGAAGAGUUUGAUCAUGGCUCAGAUUGAACGCUGGCGGCAGGCUUAACACAUGCAAGUC